Molecule: ribosomal RNA, 1816 nt
Filed under: human oral metagenome
Description: bacterial LSU rRNA
Rfam family: Bacterial large subunit ribosomal RNA
Source: RNAcentral
AGACUAUGUGAGAUAAGUUUCAUAGUCGAAAGGGAAACAGCCCAGACCGUCAGCUAAGGUCCCAAAAUAUAGGUUAAGUGGAAAAGGAUGUGGGGUUGCACAGACAGCUAGGAUGUUGGCUUAGAAGCAGCCAUUCAUUCAAAGAGUGCGUAAUAGCUCACUAGUCGAGUGACCCUGCGCCGAAGAUAAACGGGGCUAAAAUCUAUUACCGAAGCUACGGAUACUUAAUGUAUGGUAGAGGAGCGUCGUAUAGGGGUUGAAGCAGUACUGUAAGGUAAUGUGGACUUUAUACGAGAGAGAAUGUUGGCAUGAGUAGCGCGAGGCAGGUGAGAAUCCUGCCCACCGAAAAUCUAAGGUUUCCUGAGGAAGGUUCGUCCACUCAGGGUUAGUCGGGGCCUAAGCCGAGGGCGAAAGCCAUAGGCGAUGGACAACAGGUAGAAAUUCCUGUACCACCGAAGGUUGUUUGAAUGAAGUGGGGACACAGGAGGAUAAGCUGAGCACGCCGUUGGUAGAGCGUGUCUAAGCGUCAAGGGAUUAUGGAUAGGCAAAUCCGUUCAUAUAUAUUCUGAGGCGUGAUGGGGUGGUCAAAAGACCGGAAGCAGCUGAUUUCACACUGUCAAGAAAAGCCGCUAAUUAGACCUAAGGUGCCCGUACCGCAAACCGACACAGGUAGAUGAGGAGAGAAUCCUAAGGUGAGCGAGAGAACUAUUGUUAAGGAACUCGGCAAAAUAACCCCGUAACUUCGGGAGAAGGGGUGCCUGCUUCGGCAGGCCGCAGUGAAAAGGCCCAGGCAACUGUUUACCAAAAACACAGGUCUCUGCAAAAGCGAAAGCUGAAGUAUAGGGGCUGACGCCUGCCCGGUGCUGGAAGGUUAAGGGGACGUGUCAUCGCAAGAGAAGCACUGAACUUAAGCCCCAGUAAACGGCGGCCGUAACUAUAACGGUCCUAAGGUAGCGAAAUUCCUUGUCGGGUAAGUUCCGACCCGCACGAAAGGCGUAAUGAUCUGGGCACUGUCUCAACAAUAGACUCGGUGAAAUUGUAGUACCGGUAAAGAUGCCGGUUACCCGCAGCAGGACGGAAAGACCCCGUGGAGCUUUACUGUAGCUUGAUAUUGAGUUUCGGCGUUGCAUGUACAGGAUAGGUGGGAGACAAUGAAGCAAGUACGCCAGUAUUUGCUGAGUCAUCGUUGGGAUACCACCCUUGUAACGCUGGAAUUCUAACCAUGUACCGUAAACCGGUGCUGAGACAGUGUCAGGUGGGCAGUUUGACUGGGGCGGUCGCCUCCUAAAGAGUAACGGAGGCGCCCAAAGGUUCCCUCAGCGCGGACGGAAAUCGCGCGAAGAGUGCAAAGGCAGAAGGGAGCUUGACUGCGAGACCAACAAGUCGAGCAGGGACGAAAGUCGGGCUUAGUGAUCCGGUGGUUCCGAGUGGAAGGGCCAUCGCUCAACGGAUAAAAGCUACCCCGGGGAUAACAGGCUGAUACCCCCCAAGAGUUCACAUCGACGGGGGUGUUUGGCACCUCGAUGUCGGCUCGUCUCAUCCUGGGGCUGGAGUAGGUCCCAAGGGUUGGGCUGUUCGCCCAUUAAAGAGGUACGCGAGCUGGGUUCAGAACGUCGUGAGACAGUUCGGUCCCUAUCCGCUGUGGGCGUUGGAAAUUUGAGUGGAGCUGUCCUUAGUACGAGAGGACCGGGAUGGACAUACCUCUGGUGCACCAGUUGUUCUGCCAAGGGCAUAGCUGGGUAGCCACGUAUGGACGGGAUAAGCGCUGAAAGCAUCUAAGUGCGAAGCCCCCCACAAGAAAAGAUUUCCUCCUUUA